Molecule: ribosomal RNA, 253 nt
Filed under: uncultured bacterium
Lineage: Bacteria
Description: partial 16S ribosomal RNA
Rfam family: Bacterial small subunit ribosomal RNA
Source: RNAcentral
UACGUAGGGGGCAAGCGUUGUCCGGAAUCAUUGGGCGUAAAGCGCGCGUAGGCGGCCCGGUAAGUCCGCUGUGAAAGUCCAGGGCUCAACCCUGGAAAGCCGGUGGAUACUGCCGGGCUAGAGUCCGGAAGAGGCGAGUGGAAUUCCUGGUGUAGCGGUGGAAUGCGCAGAUAUCAGGAGGAACACCGAUAGCGAAGGCAGCUCGCUGGGACGGUACUGACGCUGAGGCGCGAAAGCGUGGGGAGCGAACAGG